CGGGGCGGCCCCGAGCCGCCUGCAGCGGCGCCGCGCCGGGCGCCCUCGGCCUUCCCGUCCCGCUCUCCGGCCUCAGCGCCUCCCCGGGGCCGUGCGGGAGUCUCGGGGGCUCCGGGUCGCUUGUGCUGAACUCGGGAGAUCAUCGUGUGCCAAGCACAGGCACCGCUGUGUGCUUGCGAGGGAGCGUGAGGCGCCCCGGGCGAGGAGCCCAGCCCGCCGAUGCGGGCAGCACGGGAGGAUGCAGGCGACGGGAGGAGCUGUCGCGCAGGAUGUUCCCCGUUGUGCACGGACUGACGUGUGCAGCACAUGAUGUCUUCAGAAGAGGACUUUCCAGAGGAUGCCAGCUUUUCCUCCGGCAUCAGCACCAGCCGGCUGCAGCAGGAAAUGCCGCCAGAUGCCUCCAAAGACCUGCGGUGCUCCAUCUGCCUCAACACACUUGACGACACCGCCUACAUCACCGUCUGCAUGCACCGGUUCUGCUACGGCUGCAUCCGGCAGAUAUGCAGGCGACGGGAGGAGCUGUCGGGUGAGUGCCCCCCAGCAGCGAGGGAGCAAAGCUAAAGCCCGAGGUGGCACGGGGGGGCCUGAGCAGCCUGCUCCCAGGGCCUCGGCUGUGCCUGCGGUGUGCGCAGCAGGGGGUCCCCCAGCGGUGCCUUCCUCCUUCUGGAGGCAUGGUGGCCCUGGGAGCAUCUGCAAAGCCCCAGGUCCAAGGUGGUUGGAGGGGGGCUGUUUCUGGGGCUGUGCAAUGGGUGCAGGUGCUGCGCUGCAGAGGCAGCAGCUGGCGCAUGCUCCACCCACAGGAAAGGCCCGUGCGCUCAAAGAAGCAGGAGCGCAGUUACAGCUGAGCUCCGGGGUGGGCCAGCCUCAGGGACAUCCCCUCUGCUGUCCCUCUGCCCGGAGAUGCUUUGGCAAACCACAGGAUCACCGAAUCACCAAAGAAUGGUUGGGGUUGGAAGGGACCUCCGGAGAGCCUCUAGUCCAGCCUCCCUGCUCAAGCAGGGUCCCCUAGAGCAGCUUAGUCAGCACCCUGUCCAGGUGCCUUUGCAAUAGCUCCAAGGAUGGAGCCUCCACAACGUCUCUGGGCAACCUCUUGCAGUGCUCUGGCACCCUCACACGAGGAAAGUUGUUCCUUCUGUUCAGACGCAACUUCCUGUGUUUCGCUUGGUGCCCGCUGCCUCUCGUCCUGUCCCUGGGCACCACUGAAGAGAGCCUGCCACCAUCCUCUUUACACCCUCCCCUCAGUUAUUUAUCGGCAUCGAUAAGAUUCCCCCAUCAGUCUUCGCUCCUCCAGGCUCCACAGGCCCAGCUCUCCCAGCCUUUCCUCACAGCAGAGAUGCUCCAGUCCCUUCCUCCUCUUCGGAGCCCUUUGCUCCACUGGCUCCACAUCUGUCUUGUACUGCGGAGCUCCGAACUGGACACAGUACGCCAGGGCUGGCCUCAGCAGGGUGGCUGAGGAGAGCACAUCACCUGCCUGGACCUGCUGGCAAGGCUCUGCUCUUCCUAAUGCAGCCCAGGAUGCCAUUGACUGCCCUUGCCGCAAGGGCCCAUUGCUGGCUCAUGGUCCACUUGUUGCCCCCCAGGACUCCCAGGUCCUGCUCGGCAGAGCUGCUUCCCAGCAGGUCGGGCCCAGCAUGUCCUGCUGCCUGCGCUUAGUCCUCCCCAGGAGCAGGACUCUUCUGCGCUUCCCUUGAGUGAACUUCAGCAGGGUCCUCUCUGCCCAUUUCUCCACACGGGCGAGGUCCCUCUCAAUGGCAGCACAGGCCUCUGCUGCAUCAGCCACUCCUCCCAGCUUUGCCCAACCAGCAAACUUGCUGAGGGUACACUCUGUCCCUUCGUCCAGGGCACUGAUGAACAAGUUGAACAGCAUGGCACCCAGCAGUGACCCCUGGGGUACACCGUGCGCUACAGGCCUCCAGCUAGACUUUGCGCCAUGGAUCCCAACCCUCUGAGCUCUGCCACUCAGCCAGUUUUCAAGCCACCUCACUGUCUUGCCUGUGAGCAUGGUACAGCAGAAGUGUCAAAAGCCUUCCGGAAGUUGUCAGGAGCAACAGACACCGCUCUUGCCUCGUCGACCAGCACAGUCAUUUCACCCCAGAAGGCCCUCAGGUGGGAGGGGGCCAGGGCGCUUGGGGCAGGGCACCACAAAGGCCUUGGGCCAAGCAUGCUUGCAAGGAGGGAGAAAAGGCAGCGUGGACAGGAAAGCCUUGGCAGGACCUGCCGAGUCCUCUGCCUUUUGCCCAGGCCUCUUCCCACGCCCAGGAGGCCAAGGUUGGUGUCAGCCGCAGAGGGGCACAGGAGCACAUGGCUCCCCAGAUGGGUCGGACCUGCCAGGAGGAAAACACACAGGCGCUGCCGGAGGUCUCUGUAGCGCAGCCACCGCUGGAGCAGCCCAGGGAGCCGGGAGCUUCUGGAGAUGAGGCCAAGUGCCACCGGGCAGCUCUGAGCCCCCCAGCAGCCCCUGUUUCAUCGUGCCCUGCCCCGUCGUUCCCAGGACAUGGGCCAGGCACCUCCAUCAGCAGGCUGUGCCAGGCAACGCUGCUGGAGGCCACUUGAGAUCUGUCCUGCCCUCCCCAUCUGCACACUUCUGACGUCCCCUAGGGAGGCUUUGGCUUUUCCCCUCUUGUGUCCAAUACACCCGCAGGCACUUGCCGAGUUGUGCUUCUGCACAACAAGCAACACACCCCAACUGCUGAAUGCAGAACAGGCUUUUUUAUGGUGCUGGGCUGGGGGGUGGAGGAAAGAGAGGGAAGGUUGUGCUGGACUCUUGGGCAGAAAAAGCUGUCCACUUCACCACCACGACUCUGGCUGGAUUUGGUCACCCUGACAGUUGGCAGCGUUUGACUUGACCUCUGCCGAAAGAGGAGAGGACGAGAAAUAACUGCACAACUCGGAGACCUGCACUAACAUCCAGCCUCCGACUGCCAGUGCAGCCAAGGCAAAGCCGGGCACAGCCCCAAGCAGCAACAGCCCCACGCGGAAAGCAGAGAGUUCCUGUGACUUCCGUGACAUCACCGCUUGGAGGCAGCCGCACAGUGGGGACCCCCUCACUUAGCCCCAAGCUCCGCGCUGGGUGGCACGCGAGGCGUCCAGGGCCCGGCAGGGUCACGGCUUUGCG
Long non-coding RNA from Dromaius novaehollandiae (emu), 3115 nucleotides. RefSeq lists it as uncharacterized. The transcript has 3 exons. Lineage: Eukaryota; Metazoa; Chordata; Aves; Casuariiformes; Dromaiidae. The record is from RefSeq and is a predicted model, not a curated record.